AAGUGGCAAUUGAUAAGCCGUC
Molecule: microRNA, 22 nt
Filed under: Corchorus olitorius
Lineage: Eukaryota; Viridiplantae; Streptophyta; Magnoliopsida; Malvales; Malvaceae
Description: cel-miR-2212-
Source: RNAcentral